This is a small nuclear RNA of Otolemur garnettii (small-eared galago), 141 nucleotides long. Its record names the gene U4. It matches the Rfam family "U4 spliceosomal RNA". From Rfam's summary of the family: U4 small nuclear RNA (U4 snRNA) is a component of the major U2-dependent spliceosome. The structure of U4 snRNA from yeast and human has been reported. NCBI's taxonomy places the organism in Eukaryota, Metazoa, Chordata, Mammalia, Primates, Galagidae. The record is from Ensembl.
AGCUUUGCACAGUGGCAGUAUCGUAGCCAGUGAGGUUUACCCGAGGAGUGAUUAUUGCUAAUUGAAAACUUUUCCCAAUACCCGGCCAUGACAACUUGCAAUAUAGUUGGCACUGGCAAUUUUUGACCGGCUCUAUGGAGA